CCCGUACGGGUUAUCCACGGGUUGGAAUGUGGGCCGGCUGACCGGUCUGAACCAGGAA
Molecule: non-coding RNA, 58 nt
Filed under: Halovivax asiaticus JCM 14624
Lineage: Archaea; Methanobacteriati; Methanobacteriota; Halobacteria; Halobacteriales; Natrialbaceae
Description: eL15-Euryarchaeota ribosomal protein leader
Rfam family: eL15-Euryarchaeota ribosomal protein leader
Source: RNAcentral